RNAcentral lists this ribosomal RNA (495 nucleotides) under uncultured bacterium. Its description in RNAcentral is "partial 16S ribosomal RNA". It matches the Rfam family "Bacterial small subunit ribosomal RNA", at positions 28 to 507 of the family's 1533-position model. The record is from RNAcentral.
GACGAACGCUGGCGGCGUGCCUAAUACAUGCAAGUAGAACGCUGAAGGAGGAGCUUGCUUCUCUGGAUGAGUUGCGAACGGGUGAGUAACGCGUAGGUAACCUGCCUGGUAGCGGGGGAUAACUAUUGGAAACGAUAGCUAAUACCGCAUAAUAGUAGAUGUUGCAUGACAUUUGCUUAAAAGGUGCAAUUGCAUCACUACCAGAUGGACCUGCGUUGUAUUAGCUAGUUGGUGGGGUAACGGCUCACCAAGGCGACGAUACAUAGCCGACCUGAGAGGGUGAUCGGCCACACUGGGACUGAGACACGGCCCAGACUACUACGGGAGGCAGCAGUAGGGAAUCUUCGGCAAUGGACGGAAGUCUGACCGAGCAACGCCGCGUGAGUGAAGAAGGUUGUCGGAUCGUAAAGCUCUGUUGUAAGAGAAGAACGAGUGUGAGAGUGGAAAGUUCACACUGUGACGGUAUCUUAACAGAAAGGGACGGCUAACUACGUG